GAAGUCUCACUUUUUCUUUUCUCCUGCUUUGUUAAUUGAUUUAGUUGAUUUCGUUUUGUUUAGUUUAAUUUUUAGUGGGAGUUUGUCUCUCAUUAGUGAGGGAGUAUUUUCUUUCUUUUUUUAAAUUCUCUUCGCUACCAUUCUCUUCCUUACUAUCUACAGGAUGAUGUAGCUGAUAUUUCAGAGGCUAUUUUUGUGCAGAUCAUGAGCUUCUUGGCUGAAAUUUUAGUGGUUGGUUCCAGGGGCUUUUUCUACUUGACAAGCAUCUCAAGGGUUAAUCCAGCAUUGAUUGUAUGGUAAUUGGGUUUUGAUCCCUUUAGAAUAUAUUAGGGUGGUAAUUUU
RNAcentral lists this unclassified non-coding RNA (342 nucleotides) under Hevea brasiliensis (rubber tree). Lineage: Eukaryota; Viridiplantae; Streptophyta; Magnoliopsida; Malpighiales; Euphorbiaceae. The record is from RNAcentral.